Molecule: long non-coding RNA, 312 nt
Filed under: Brassica napus (rape)
Lineage: Eukaryota; Viridiplantae; Streptophyta; Magnoliopsida; Brassicales; Brassicaceae
Description: long non-coding RNA (BNAP_LNC015394)
Source: RNAcentral
UUCACUGCCACCAGAGAGGAUGUUUGCAGGUUUGAAGUUUUAUGCAUAGUCAUGGGAGAAUAUAACUUCGUAGGAUUUGAUCAUCAUGAUGCUAUAUGUGUUAACCCUUAACAAAGGUUAACAACUGAUGAUGUUCUAGGUAUGUCAUCAUGUCGAUAUUUUUUUGGAAAUGAAAACUUGCUGGAAGAUAAAGUUUGAAAUGAUGAUUUGUCUGUAGCUCAUUCUAUUUUUCCAAAUAGUUGAUCAGAUGUCUUUUUAUAGUCUCAAACCCGAAGAGGUUACUUCCUUCACCAGAUUCUUUUUCACAACUUG